This is a ribosomal RNA of Pteropus vampyrus (large flying fox), 119 nucleotides long. NCBI's taxonomy places the organism in Eukaryota, Metazoa, Chordata, Mammalia, Chiroptera, Pteropodidae. The record is from Ensembl.
GUCUACUGCCAUACUACCCUGAACAAGCCCAAUCCUGUCUGAUCUCAAAAGCUAAGCUGGGUCAGGCCUGGUUAUUACUUGGAUGGGAUACUACCUAGGAAGACCAGGUGCUGUAGGCA